This is a long non-coding RNA of Acinonyx jubatus (cheetah), 3323 nucleotides long. RefSeq lists it as uncharacterized. The record is from RefSeq and is a predicted model, not a curated record. NCBI's taxonomy places the organism in Eukaryota, Metazoa, Chordata, Mammalia, Carnivora, Felidae. The transcript has 2 exons.
GAGAGAGAGGGAGACACAGAAUCCAAACCAGGCUCCUGGCUCCAAGCUGUGAGCACGGAGCCCGACUCAAGGUUUGAACUCAUGAGCCAUGACAUCAUGACCUGAGCCGAAGUUGGACUCUUAACCGACUGAACCACCCAGGCACCCCUGUCAGGUUCUUUUUGAGAGAACAUGAAGUGAGAACAAAACUCAUCUGCAUAAUUGAGGCUUAAUUCAAUACUUCUAUUGAUCUAAAACGUUUUGGAGGAGGCUGGGCUAAGAUUUUUUUUUUUUAAAUAAUCUCUACACCCAACAUUGGGGCUCAAGCUCACAACCUCAACAUCAAGAGUUACGUGCUCUACCGACUGGGCCAGCCAGGCACCUUUUGGAGGAAGUUGUUUUUAAAAUAUUCUGGAAAACACCAUGGGCUCUUGUAUUAGAUGCAAGUUUAAAGUCCAAGUAAGAACUAGGAAUUUUGUUAAAACGUACACGACACAAUUCAGCAACUCUGUUUAUUGUUAUUUUUUGAAUGUUUAUUUAUUUUGAGAGAACGAGAAAGCAGAGCCGGGGAGGGGCACAGAGAGAGGGAGAGAAAGAAUCCCAAGCAGGUUCCUCACUGUCAGCCCAGAGCCAGAUGUGGGGCUUGAUCUCAGGAACCCGUGAGAUCAUGCCCUGAGCCAAAACCAAGAGUUGGACAUUUAACUGACUGAGCCAUCCAGGAGCCCUCUAUUUAUUCUUUUUUAAAUCACACAUGUACCACACCAGGACUUUGAAGACCUGGUUUUAAUCCUGGCUGUGUGGUUUCAGUAAAUCACUUCUCUCUGGGCCUUGAUUUUGGUAUUUUUCAAACAUGGGAAUUAAACUAGACUUGGGGUGGGGGUUGGAGGAGCUCCUGGGUGGCUAUGUUGCUUAAGUAUCCGACUUUGGCUUUGGCUCAGGUCAUGAUCUCACGGUUCCAGUUCCAGCCCCGAGUUGGGCUCUCCACUGUCAGCACAGAGCCUGCUUCGGAUCCCCUGUCCCCCUCUCUCACUGGCCUUACCCCCUCCCCUCAAAAAUAGACAUUAAAAAAAAUAAUAAACUAGACCAGGGGGUUCUAAUUUGUUUUUGACCAUAGAACUCUUUAUUCAAACAAAACCUCACUUGGAAUACAACACACAAAACAUACUAAAAGCUGAGUUUCUCAGGUUUGGUUUUGUUUUGUUUUCCAGGAGGGGGAGGGUCCCCACAGGCCAGCUCCUUGCUCACCUCCUCACCCCCUGAGGCAUCCGGAGGCCUGACCCUGAGCCCCAGCACAGAGCCCAGCAGCACCAAGCACAGCUUUGCCCAGGAGCAGUACUGUCAUGGAGACCACACAGACACUUUAAAAAUUCAACAGAAAGAUCAUCUUUCUGGUAGAAACAAACAAACAAAAAACAGAAGGAGUCCAGCGUAACCAGGACUGCCAAGAGUAAAGGGGAAACCAAAAGGAGAGUCCAUGAAGGCAGAAACUCUAAAUUCUGUGUAUAGACUCAGCUCAGGUCUCCGGCAAACCCCUGAACCAUGCAUGUAUGGGGCAAACUCAAAGAUGUUUACAGCCAAGGCUUAAAGAACUGAACUGAGAUAUGAGCCAUCACAGCAUGGCAGGGUAGAGUUGGGUCUAACCAAAUUCAUUACCUAAAACAAAAACCUUAGUGCUGCUCAGAACAAUAAUAAAACAGAAUCCAAAGUCUCCACAACAAAACCUUUACAAAGUCCAGGUUAUAAUCCAAAAUUACUCGGCAUGGAAAGAGUCAGGAAAAUGUGACCAUUCCCAGGAAAAAGGAGAACCAAUAGAUGCCAGUCCAGAGAUGACUUAUGUGUUGAAAUUUUCAGACACGGAUUUUAAAACAGCUAUUAUAACUAUUGAGCACAAUGAGGUCGAAGAAAAUAUGUUUCUAAUUGAUGUAAUAAAAAAAUCAAAGAAAUAGAAAAUCACUAGACUGAAGAAAAGAAUGGAGAUGAUGCAGUCAGUGAACUUGAAGACACAUUAACAAAUCAUUCAAUAAGAAUAAGAUAAAGAUUGAAGAUAAAUGGAGCUUCCUGGAACUAUGGUACAAUUUCUAAUGCCUAACUGGAAUCACAGAAGGAAGGAUAAAGAAACUAGAGCAGGAAAAAUACUCAAAGAAGUAAUGGCUCAAAAUUUCCAAAAUUUGGUGAAAGACAUAAAUUUACAAGUUCAAGAAUCUCAGCAAAUCCCAAACAAUAAAUUCAGAGAGAAAUACACAUUGGUAUAUCCUAGUCAAACUAGUGAAAACCACCAAUAAGGAAAAAAUCUUGAAAGCAGUCCUGUUACAUAUAGGGAAACAAUAAUUUGAAUUACCAUGGAUAGCUCAUCAAAAACGAUGGAAGCCAGAAGACAGCGCUAAAAGAAACUGUCAUCCCAGAACACUCUAUAAUUCAAUAAUGAAAGUCAAAUAAAGAGCUUACUGUCAGAAAAAGGAAAACUAAGUGAGUUUGUCCCUAUAUGAGCUGCAUUGCACAAAAUGCUAAAUAAAAGGUCUCCAGGCUGAAGGGAGAUGAUACCAGAGAGAGACAGAUUUUCAGGAAUGAAGAACAUCAGAAAUAGAUACUAUAUGAGUAAAUAUAAAAGACGAUUUUCUCUUAAUUUCUCUAAAAUACCAUUAGAUUAUACAUUAUAUAUGUUACAUACACAUAUUGUAUAUACUAUAGACUAUUAAAGCAAAAAUUGCAAUGAGUGUAUUUGGGUUUGUAAUGUGUGCAGAUGGAAUACCUAUAAUAAUAACAGAAGGGGGAGGGGGAAAUGGACCUAUAUCAUCGCAAGAUUUCUACAUUCCACAUGUAGUACAGUAUUACCUCUGAGUGGAUUGUGAACAGUUAAUGAUGUAUAUUGUGAUACCCAGAGCAACCACUAAUAUACUGGAGAAAAGAGAGCAAAAUGCCAACUGAUACAGUAAAAUGAAAUUCUAAAUAUUGAAAUCAUCAAAGGGGGAACAAAACAAAUAAGCAAAAAAUAAAAAUAAUAAAAACAAACUAGAGGGAAUAAACAAAAACAAUAAAAUGAUAGACCUAAAUCCAAUCAUAUUAAUUAUCAAAUGCCAAUGAACUAUAUAGUCCAGUAAAAGAGACUAUCACAAUAUAUACAAAAGCAAUAUUUAUGUGCUGUCUACAAGAGAUCUGCACUAAAGACAAAGACAUGGAUCAGUUAAAACUAAAUGGAUGGAGAAAGACACACAAGGCCAACAGUAAACUUACGAGGUCAGGAAUAGCUAUAUUAAUACCGGGGAAAAUAGGCUACAAGACACACAGUAUGAACAAAGCAGUGGCAAACAUUUUAUAAUAAUGAAAAGGUCAAUUCAUCACCAAGA